RNAcentral lists this ribosomal RNA (439 nucleotides) under uncultured bacterium. RNAcentral describes it as "partial 16S ribosomal RNA". It matches the Rfam family "Bacterial small subunit ribosomal RNA", at positions 339 to 795 of the family's 1533-position model. The record is from RNAcentral.
CUACGGGUUGCAGCAGUGGGGAAUAUUGCACAAUGGGGGGAACCCUGAUGCAGCAACGCCGCGUGGAGGAUGACGCAUUUCGGUGUGUAAACUCCUUUUAUAUGUCAAGAAAAUGACGGUAGCAUAUGAAUAAGCACCGGCUAACUCCGUGCCAGCAGCCGCGGUAAUACGGAGGGUGCAAGCGUUACUCGGAAUCACUGGGCGGAAAGGACGCGUAGGCGGGUUGGAAAGUCAGGUGUGAAAUCCUACAGCUUAACUGUAGAACUGCACUUGAAACUUCUAAUCUAGAGUAUGGGAGGGGGAGAUGGAAUUAGUGGUGUAGGGGUAAAAUCCGUAGAUAUCACUAGGAAUACCUAAAGCGAAGGCGAUCUCCUGGAACAUUACUGACGCUAAGGCGUGAAAGCGUGGGGAGCAAACAGGAUUAGAUACCCGCGUAGUC